Molecule: long non-coding RNA, 252 nt
Filed under: Salvia miltiorrhiza (redroot sage)
Lineage: Eukaryota; Viridiplantae; Streptophyta; Magnoliopsida; Lamiales; Lamiaceae
Description: long non-coding RNA (SMIL_LNC009017)
Source: RNAcentral
GGAAAGAGCUCUCCUCCAAUCUCGCACUCAAUGGUGAAGCUACCCGGAUCUUUCUUCUUCGAAAGUAGCUUCAUUGGCAGCUCAGUGCACACAGCUUUCGCCUGCGGGAUUUUCUCAUCCUCAUCACCCAUCUUCUUGGUGUGAACAACUGUCUUUUCUUCUUUCUCCUUGGGAUCCUGCAAUUUUGAGAGAGUUUGAGGCUGUGCACGCCGGUCCGAUUCUUCAAGUAGUCUCUCUAGCUCAUCCACUAUA